Molecule: long non-coding RNA, 1703 nt
Organism: Peromyscus californicus insignis
Lineage: Eukaryota; Metazoa; Chordata; Mammalia; Rodentia; Cricetidae
Exons: 3
Source: RefSeq, a predicted model, not a curated record
GGCCGCCGUCUUGGCCAUGGUGCCCCACUCGGCCCCUCACCAGAGCCCGGUGAAGGAUCAGCCCGAACCUAGGAUGCGCUCUGGGAACAAGCAGAAGUGACCAGCCGAGGAAGGUCCUAAAGUCAAUCAUAUCUUCAGAUACUGAAGCACCUUGAACAUUCCAGAGUCGUUUCAAAAAUUAAAUAAUCAUAGAAAAAUUAAAUAAUCAAGUGCACCAUAAUGAAAUUUCAUUCAUCGGGCUUGGACUCUGGACAUUUGGACAGUUUCUACAAGCCACAAUUCUCAAAGGAGAAGCAUCAAUAAGAGUCUCAUGCAGCCCACGUCGGCUUCAAACUCACGACAGAGCUGAGGAUGAGCUUGGAUUCCUCGCUCCCCUGUCUCCACCCAAGUGCGAGGAUCACAGCCCGCACCACCACACUCUCAAACGUUAGUUUAACCUCAUCCAGUAUUACUGUUUCAGUCUCUGUUAACAGAGUCCUCAGCACAAUGAAUUCUGAUCCACCAAGGUAAAGAAUCUAAUGAACACCCAAGAGGUUUCCUCAAAAUCCACUGAGACCCUCAGGAAACUGGCAAGGCCCAGACAGAAGAAGCAAGGACUGUCCCUGAGCAGGGUUCCGAGCACUGGUGAGGAGGAGAGAGCUACAGACAGACAGACUGACAGUGGCCAGGCCAGGCCUACAGCAGAACCAAAAAUGACAGAACUGUUUGGGAAUCACCUCCAAACUCUGACAGCGGAAGGCGCACACAGUCCAGCUCUCCCCCGUUCAAGUUACAACUGCAGGGCCCCUGUGUGUUCUUACACUCACUCUUCCCUGUCUCUUCCGUACACCAGGGGUGGGGGCUCCUGAAGCCAAUGCUCCUCUGAUACAUUACGUUUUCCUUACAAUGGAUACGGCACGUUUUAGUCUAACAAGUCUGGUGAUCAAGAAAGGGUAGGCAACGAUCAGUGUUGUGAGUGAGGGCACAAAGGGUAAUGAAAAGCUGAUCAGAAAACCAGCGCAAGGCUUAGGACUAGUGUUGGUGUGAGGCCAGAGACUAUGUGGACGUUUCCCUGGUACCAGGCCUGCUCCAAAGACGAACUAACCUCUACUGGAGAGCUACAGAACCCACAGCAUUAGGCAUGGCCCUUACCAGCAACAGUCAGGUAGCCAUGCCUGCAAGCCAGUUUAACAGGUACACGAGUUUAUUUUCAUUUAAAAUUCAGUGAAUUAGCCAGGCAUGGGAGGCAGAGGUAUAUGUAUCUGGGGCCAGCCUCUCUACAUAGUGAGUUUCAGGCCAGCCAGGGUAUAUAGUGAGAUCUUAUCUCAAGCAAAAAUUAAAAAAAAAAAAAAAAAAAAAAAAUCAAUAAAUUAAAAGUAGCGAGCCAGGCAGGAUGGCUCACUGGAGAAAAAUACUUGCCACCAAGUCUAAUGUCCUGAGUUCAAUGCCCAGGUUACACAAGGUGGGACAAAGACCCAGCUCCUGCAAGUUCUCCUGUGACUUCCAUGUGGGCCACAGCCCACGAGCACACAUCAAAAUAAGUGUACAAAAAAGUAGCAAUAAACAUUACACUUGUAUCACUAUAAUACAGCUCCUAAAUAAUUAAGACAAUGCUCAAACCUGGAAUUUGCUCCCGCUUUCCUCGGGGUGUGAGCCUAUCACCGGAGGGGUAAACAAUUCAUGUCUGUGUGUCCUCUGUAAGAAAGAGAGAGCCUUAUGAAUCA